CCCUUCAGAGGGGGACAACAGUUGGAAACGACUGCUAAUACCGCAUACGAUCCGACCUCGGCAUCGAGGAUGGAUGAAAGGUGGCCUCUAUUUAUAAGCUAUCACUGAAGGAGGGGAUUGCGUCUGAUUAGCUAGUUGGAGGGGUAACGGCCCACCAAGGCAAUGAUCAGUAGCCGGUCUGAGAGGAUGAACGGCCACAUUGGGACUGAGACACGGCCCAG
Molecule: ribosomal RNA, 221 nt
Filed under: uncultured bacterium
Lineage: Bacteria
Description: partial 16S ribosomal RNA
Rfam family: Bacterial small subunit ribosomal RNA
Source: RNAcentral